GAUGAACGCUGGCGGCGUGCCUAAUACAUGCAAGUCGAGCGAACAGACGAGGAGCUUGCUCCUCUGUCGUUAGCGGCGGACGGGUGUGUAACACGUGGAUAACCUACCUAUAAGACUGGUAUAAUUUCGGGAAACCGGAGCUAAUCCCGGAUAACAUGUUGAACCGCAUGGUUGAACAGAGAAAGUCGGCUUUGCUGUCUGUUAUAGCUGGUUCCGGGUCGCAUGAGCUAGUUGGUGAGGUAACGGGUUACCAAGGCAACGAUGCGUAGCCGACCGGAGGGGGGGGUAGGCGGCCCUAGAGCUGGGACGCGGUCAAGGGGACUGAGGGAGGCAGCAGUAGGGAAUCGGCCGCAAUGGGCGAAAGCCUGACGGAGCAAGGGGGCGCGAGAGGAGAAGGUCUUCGGAGCGUAAAACUCUGUUAUGGGGGAAGAACAGAUGUGGAAUGUGCUAUGGACGUCUUGACGGUAACGAGUCAGAAAGCCACGGCUAACUACGUG
RNAcentral lists this ribosomal RNA (497 nucleotides) under uncultured bacterium. RNAcentral's name for it is "partial 16S ribosomal RNA". It matches the Rfam family "Bacterial small subunit ribosomal RNA", at positions 28 to 507 of the family's 1533-position model. The record is from RNAcentral.